AAUGAACGCUGGCGGCAGGCCUAACACAUGCAAGUCGAACGGAUCCUUCGGGAUUAGUGGCGGACGGGUGAGUAACGCGUGGGAACAUACCCAAAGGUACGGAAUAGCCUCGGGAAACUGGGAGUAAUACCGUAUGUGCUCGAAAGAGGAAAGAUUUAUCGCCUUUGGAUUGGCCCGCGUUGGAUUAGGUAGUUGGUGGGGUAAUGGCCUACCAAGCCGACGAUCCAUAGCUGGUCUGAGAGGAUGAUCAGCCACACUGGGACUGAGACACGGCCCAGACUCCUACGGGAGGCAGCAGUGGAGAAUCUUAGACAAUGGGGGAAACCCUGAUCUAGCCAUGCCGCGUGAUCGAUGAAGGCCUUAGGGUUGUAAAGAUCUUUCAGGUGGGAAGAUAAUGACUGUACCACCAGGAGAAGCCCCGGCUAACUCCGUGCCAGCCGCCGCGGUAA
Molecule: ribosomal RNA, 449 nt
Filed under: uncultured bacterium
Lineage: Bacteria
Description: partial 16S ribosomal RNA
Rfam family: Bacterial small subunit ribosomal RNA
Source: RNAcentral